RNAcentral lists this long non-coding RNA (579 nucleotides) under Sorghum bicolor (sorghum). RNAcentral describes it as "long non-coding RNA (SBIC_LNC004221)". The record is from RNAcentral. Lineage: Eukaryota; Viridiplantae; Streptophyta; Magnoliopsida; Poales; Poaceae.
CACGCACACCGUGUUGUCAAUCGCUCAUCACCAAGGUGCUAGCCCACCGACAUCUCAAUCUCCCCCUUGAUGAGUGCAUUGACAACACCACACCGCACAGAUUUAUUCGAACAUAAGAGAAAAAAAAAUCUUGAUCCCCAAAGACAUGGGCUAGCAAAAAUAGCUAGGCUCGACACAAUCAAGAAAAAAAAACUUUCUCCAAAGUGAAUCAAAAUUCAACAAAACUCCCCCUCAAAACAAGCAUGUCAAGUCUCAGCAAAAACGAAAUCAAACUCCCCCUGCAAAAUGAAUUUGUGCGCUACUCACUCUCCCCCUUGUUGACAAAGCACUCCAUCAAGAUAAAUGCAAAGAACCAAUUUAGAGAAAAACAUGUGAGAGAGCGCAAGUAGAAGCUUCCGAGACAUAUGCCAAAUACUUAUAAAAGCUAACUAGCAACACUAGCGACUCAGAGAGGAAGCAUCACAAUGCUAUGACCAUUAGAAUUGAGAACUUAAAUCUGUUUGAAAAAUCAAUUAGCCAGGCAAAAACAUGCAUAUUCCAAAAUCAGUGCCAGAGACAAAACAUAUAGCAAGCUCACAC